This 460-nucleotide ribosomal RNA is filed under the name uncultured bacterium. Its description in RNAcentral is "partial 16S ribosomal RNA". It matches the Rfam family "Bacterial small subunit ribosomal RNA", at positions 338 to 795 of the family's 1533-position model. The record is from RNAcentral.
CCUACGGGAGGCAGCAGUGAGGAAUAUUGGUCAAUGGACGAGAGUCUGAACCAGCCAAGUAGCGUGAAGGAUGACUGCCCUAUGGGUUGUAAACUUCUUUUAUAUGGGAAUAAAACGUUCCACGUGUGGGAUUUUGUAUGUACCAUAUGAAUAAGGAUCGGCUAACUCCGUGCCAGCAGCCGCGGUAAUACGGAGGAUCCGAGCGUUAUCCGGAUUUAUUGGGUUUAAAGGGAGCGUAGGUGGAUUGUUAAGUCAGUUGUGAAAGUUUGCGGCUCAACCGUAAAAUUGCAGUUGAAACUGGCAGUCUUGAGUACAGUAGAGGUGUGCGGAAUUCGUGGUGUAGCGGUGAAAUGCUUAGAUACCGCGAAGAACUCCGAUUGCGAAGGCAGUUCACUGGACUGCAACUGACACUGAGGCUCGAAAGUGUGGGUAUCAAACAGGAUUAGAUACCCCAGUAGUC